UACGUAGGGGCCGAGCGUUGUCCGGAGUUAUUGGGCGUAAAGCGCGCGCAGGCGGCUUCGCGCGCCCGACGUGAAAGCCCCCGGCUUAACCGGGGAGAGUCGUUGGGGACGGCGGAGCUUGAGGGCGGGAGAGGUCGGUGGAAUUCCCGGUGUAGUGGUGAAAUGCGUAGAGAUCGGGAAGAAGGCCGGUGGCGAAGGCGGCUCUCUGGAACGUUCCUGACACUGAGGCACGAAAGCGUGGGGAGCAAACAGG
This 253-nucleotide ribosomal RNA is filed under the name uncultured bacterium. RNAcentral's name for it is "partial 16S ribosomal RNA". It matches the Rfam family "Bacterial small subunit ribosomal RNA", at positions 524 to 776 of the family's 1533-position model. The record is from RNAcentral.